AUGCGGGACAUCCCUAUGGCACAGGAUCCAGACAUGCAUAUGGCACAUGAUCCGGACGACGACGACAACGACGAUGGUACAUUUACCAACGUCGAUAAGUACUUUGCCGAACAUGGGUACGCUGACGAGUUUUGUGGGCCUCCUUCUCAAGAACCCAACCAAGACGACCGCGAUCUAGCUGGUAUGGCAGAGAAAACCAAUUGCAACAGGCAUCAUCUGGUGUUCAAUUCUGAGGAGACGCCUCCAGCUCCCGCCUUCACCGAGCCUCAGAUAGCUGAGGUGCGAAAUAUUAUCAGCCCCAACACGCUCAAGAAGGCGGUCUAUGAGCAGAACUCGGUCCCAUUACAGCAGAUCAAGAAGAAGGGACGGAAACGAAAGACUAACAAGGGCACCGGUGCGAGCCAGCCGGCACCAACUACGAUCCGUGCUCAGGACGGGCCACCUUCACCUAAGGAUAUCUCGAGGAGGGUGCAUGUGGCGGGUUGGGCGAUGCUACCGACAAAUAUGCUCAAUGCUGCAACCGGUGCUAAGCGAAGUCUGCAUGACAGUGUUCUUUCUUCGGAGAAGCGGCGUCUCUCCCACAAUGAUGUGGCAUACCCGGUUUUUGUGGCCAAGGUGCCAGAGGGCAAGGGCUUUGUGGAUGGCGCCAUCGGGUGUACGAUCGUCCUGCGGUUUGAUGACAUAUUUUCUAUGUUUAACCUUCAUCCGCUGCACUACACCUUCGUUCGGUUAUUUUCGCUGAGUAUGGAGAUGCAGAUCAUUCGAGACAAGACCCCGGACAUCAGGAUAGUUGACCCCUUCUACAUGCGUGCCAAGAUCUUGGGCAGCGCUGGGGACCGGCAAGUCGCGAGUUCACACCUCGAAGGCGUCAUUGUGGCAAACCCAGAUAAGGAUAAGUUCAUCAUGCCUUACUUUCCCGAGUAA
This 924-nucleotide ribosomal RNA is filed under the name Triticum aestivum (bread wheat). RNAcentral's name for it is "partial small subunit ribosomal RNA". Lineage: Eukaryota; Viridiplantae; Streptophyta; Magnoliopsida; Poales; Poaceae. The record is from RNAcentral.